UUCUGACAAGUUGGCAUAAGUUAUCAGUUCUUACGACGUUAAUCUACUGGGUCUUCGCCUGAAGGUAUAACUGAAUCAAGAGUGCAGGAGAUGAGCUUGCAGGGCUGUGCCGGGAUGAAGAAGAACGAUAAGCCUCGCCCCUGGAGGAACUAUUGAGCUCCCUGCCUGGAAGCCACCGCACACAUCCAGGCCUGCCACACACAGGUUGGGCU
Long non-coding RNA from Neomonachus schauinslandi (Hawaiian monk seal), 212 nucleotides. RefSeq lists it as uncharacterized. NCBI's taxonomy places the organism in Eukaryota, Metazoa, Chordata, Mammalia, Carnivora, Phocidae. The transcript has 3 exons. The record is from RefSeq and is a predicted model, not a curated record.